GGUUAAGUGACUAAGCGUACACGGUGGAUGCCUUGGCAGUCAGAGGCGAUGAAGGACGUAGUAACUUGCGAUAAGCGUAGAUGAGGCAGUAACAGCCACUUGAGUCUACGAUUUCCGAAUGGGGAAACCCACUGGCAUAAGCCAGUAUCAUUGAGUGAAUACAUAGCUCAAUGAAGCGAACCGGGAGAACUGAAACAUCUAAGUACCCCGAGGAAAAGAAAUCAACCGAGAUUCCGAAAGUAGCGGCGAGCGAAAUUGGAUUAGCCCUUAAGCUUUACAUGUGUUAGACGAACGGUCUGGAAAGUCCGACGAUACAGGGUGAUAGUCCCGUAGUUGUAGAUGCAUGUUCAGUGAAAUCGAGUAGGGCGGGACACGUGUUAUCCUGUCUGAAUAUGGGGGGACCAUCCUCCAAGGCUAAAUACUCCUGACUGACCGAUAGUGAACCAGUACCGUGAGGGAAAGGCGAAAAGAACCCCUGUGAGGGGAGUGAAAUAGAACCUGAAACCGUGUACGUACAAGCAGUAGGAGCACCUUCGUGGUGUGACUGCGUACCUUUUGUAUAAUGGGUCAGCGACUUAUAUUCAGUGGCAAGGUUAACCAUCUAGGGGAGCCGUAGGGAAACCGAGUCUUAACUGGGCGCCAUAGUCUCUGGAUAUA
RNAcentral lists this ribosomal RNA (657 nucleotides) under Vibrio vulnificus. RNAcentral describes it as "partial 23S ribosomal RNA". It matches the Rfam family "Bacterial large subunit ribosomal RNA", at positions 1 to 711 of the family's 2925-position model. The record is from RNAcentral. Lineage: Bacteria; Pseudomonadati; Pseudomonadota; Gammaproteobacteria; Vibrionales; Vibrionaceae.